GUUUCAGCAGCCGCGGUAAUACGUAGGAUGCAAGCGUUGUCCGGAAUUAUUGGGCGUAAAGAGCGCGCAGGCGGUUUGACAAGUCAGAUGUGAAAGAGGCCGGCUUAACCGGCAAGGGUCAUUUGAAACUGUCAGACUAGAGUACAGCAGAGGAUAGCGGAAUUCCCGGUGUAGUGGUGAAAUGCGUAGAUAUCGGGAGGAACACCAGUGGCGAAGGCGGCUAUCUGGGCUGAAACUGACGCUGAGGCGCGAAGGCUAGGGUAGCAAACAGGAUUAGAAACCCCCGUAGUCC
RNAcentral lists this ribosomal RNA (292 nucleotides) under uncultured bacterium. RNAcentral's name for it is "partial 16S ribosomal RNA". It matches the Rfam family "Bacterial small subunit ribosomal RNA", at positions 505 to 796 of the family's 1533-position model. The record is from RNAcentral.